Molecule: ribosomal RNA, 393 nt
Filed under: Gallotia stehlini (Gran Canaria giant lizard)
Lineage: Eukaryota; Metazoa; Chordata; Lepidosauria; Squamata; Lacertidae
Description: partial 12S ribosomal RNA
Rfam family: Bacterial small subunit ribosomal RNA
Source: RNAcentral
UGCUAAGCCAUAAACAUUGAGAGAUAUAAAUACAACACUCUCCGCCAGAGAACUACAAGUGAAAAACUUAAAACUCAAAGGACUUGGCGGUGUCCCACAUCGACCUAGAGGAGCCUGUCCUAUAAUCGAUACUCCCCGUUCCACCUCACCAACACUAGCACCAACCAGCCUAUAUACCGCCGUCGACAGCUUACCCCAUGAGGGUGAAAUAGUAAGCAUAAUAGUCUCACCACUAACACGUCAGGUCAAGGUGUAGCUAAUGUGUUGGCAGAGAUUGGCUACAUUUUUUAUUUUAAAAAACACGAAAUGCUACAUGAAAAACAGCAUGAAGGCGAAUUUAGUAGUAAAACAGACAAGAGAGCCUGCUUUAACAACGCUCUGGGACGCGUACAC